AGUGAACGCUGGCGGUAGGCCUAACACAUGCAAGUCGAACGGCAGCACAGUAAGAGCUUGCUCUUACGGGUGGCGGGUGGCGGACGGGUGAGGAAUACAUCGGAAUCUACUUUUUCGUGGGGGAUAACGUAGGGAAACUUACGCUAAUACCGCAUACGACCUACGGGUGAAAGCAGGGGAUCUUCGGACCUUGCGCGAUUGAAUGAGCCGAUGUCGGAUUAGCUAGUUGGCGGGGUAAAGGCCCACCAAGGCGACGAUCCGUAGCUGGUCUGAGAGGAUGAUCAGCCACACUGGAACUGAGACACGGUCCAGACUCCUACGGGAGGCAGCAGUGGGGAAUAUUGGACAAUGGGCGCAAGCCUGAUCCAGCCAUACCGCGUGGGUGAAGAAGGCCUUCGGGUUGUAAAGCCCUUUUGUUGGGAAAGAAAAGCAGCAGGUUAAUACCCCGCUGUUCUGACGGUACCCAAAGGAUAAGCACCGGCUAACUUCGUG
This 492-nucleotide ribosomal RNA is filed under the name uncultured bacterium. Its description in RNAcentral is "partial 16S ribosomal RNA". It matches the Rfam family "Bacterial small subunit ribosomal RNA", at positions 29 to 507 of the family's 1533-position model. The record is from RNAcentral.